GACGAACGCUGGCGGCGUGCUUAAUACAUGCAAGUCGAACGGAAAGGCCCUGCGUUUGUGGGGUGCUCGAGAGGCGAACGGGUGAGUAACACGUGAGUAAACUGCACUUGACUUUGGGAUAACUUCAGGAAACUGGGGCUAAUACCGGAUAGGAGCUCCUGAUGCAUGGGGGGGGUUGGAAAGUUUCGGCGGUUGGGGAUGGACUAGCGGCUUAUCCGCUGGAUGGUGGGGUAGUGGCGUACAAAGGCUUUGAAGGGUAGGCGGCCUUGGAGGGGGACCGGCCUCCUUGGUCCUGCGAGACGGCCCAGUCUCCUAUGGUCGGCAGCGGGCGGGAACAUGGCACAACGGGCCGGCGCCUGAUGCGACAGCCCCGCGUUCGUGAUGACCUCCUUCUGGUUGUAAACCGCUUUCUCCUUUGACGAAGCGUGCGUGACGGUAAUGGGUAAAGAAGCACCGGCUAACUACGUG
This 468-nucleotide ribosomal RNA is filed under the name uncultured bacterium. Its description in RNAcentral is "partial 16S ribosomal RNA". It matches the Rfam family "Bacterial small subunit ribosomal RNA", at positions 28 to 507 of the family's 1533-position model. The record is from RNAcentral.